Molecule: ribosomal RNA, 253 nt
Filed under: uncultured bacterium
Lineage: Bacteria
Description: partial 16S ribosomal RNA
Rfam family: Bacterial small subunit ribosomal RNA
Source: RNAcentral
UACAGAGGGUGCAAGCGUUGUUCGGAUUCACUGGGCGUAAAGGGUGCGUAGGCGGUCGGGUAAGUCUGAUGUGAAAUCUCACAGCUUAACUGUGAAACUGCAUUGGAUACUAUCCGGCUCGAGGAAUGGAGGGGAGACUGGAAUACUUGGUGUAGCAGUGAAAUGCGUAGAUAUCAAGUGGAACACCAGUGGCGAAGGCGAGUCUCUGGACAUUUCCUGACGCUGAGGCACGAAAGCCAGGGGAGCAAACAGG